AUUGAACGCUGGCGGCAUGCCUUACACAUGCAAGUCGAACGGCAGCAUGAUCUAGCUUGCUAGAUUGAUGGCGAGUGGCGAACGGGUGAGUAAUACAUCGGAACGUGCCCUGUAGUGGGGGAUAACUAGUCGAAAGAUUAGCUAAUACCGCAUACGACCUGAGGGUGAAAGUGGGGGACCGCAAGGCCUCAUGCUAUAGGAGCGGCCGAUGUCUGAUUAGCUAGUUGGUGAGGUAAAGGCUCACCAAGGCGACGAUCAGUAGCUGGUCUGAGAGGACGAUCAGCCACACUGGGACUGAGACACGGCCCAGACUCCUACGGGAGGCAGCAGUGGGGAAUUUUGGACAAAGGGCGAAAGCCUGAUCCAGCAAUGCCGCGUGUGUGAAGAAGGCCUUCGGGUUGUAAAGCACUUUUGUCCGGAAAGAAAUGGCCCUGGUUAAUACCUGGGGUCGAUGACGGUACCGGAAGAAUAAGGACCGGCUAACUACGUG
This 490-nucleotide ribosomal RNA is filed under the name uncultured bacterium. RNAcentral's name for it is "partial 16S ribosomal RNA". It matches the Rfam family "Bacterial small subunit ribosomal RNA", at positions 30 to 507 of the family's 1533-position model. The record is from RNAcentral.